This is a long non-coding RNA of Pantherophis guttatus, 529 nucleotides long. RefSeq lists it as uncharacterized. NCBI's taxonomy places the organism in Eukaryota, Metazoa, Chordata, Lepidosauria, Squamata, Colubridae. The record is from RefSeq and is a predicted model, not a curated record.
UUCUGCGCAUGUGCGAAGUUCAUUUUUAUUCUAAAGUCGUCAAGAGAGGUUCCUGUUAACGCUGCUCCUGGGCGUGGGCCUACCUCGACUGGAUGAGGCCCAUGUUCAGUCUUGGGGUGCCAGUCGUGGUCAGCUGGGAAUCGAGUCGUCCUCUGGAUCAUCAAUGGAUGGUCUGGGUAGAUGUCCUGGUCAAUCGGGCGAUGUCGUUGUGAUGGUAUCAUGACAGGAGAGAGCACAAGAUGAAGGAGUGAGAUGGGGCUUAUAUAUACUAAGGAGGCGGAGUCAAGGAGUUCAUCUCUACAAGCAACUCAUACAAUCACAUUGUUAGAAAGGACCAACGGCCCUGCUCAGAAAUCCAAAUUAAAGGAUCCCCAACCAACACCCAGUUGCACGAUUACAAGAAUACUGCUAUGACACAUAUACUCUGUUUUUAAACUUUAUACUGUCCUCCAGAUUGGCGUUUAAGCAAGACUUCUGCCUCUUUUCUUCUUCAAUCUACUUCUGCUAAAAUUACAACUGGGCGAAAAUA